GAUGAACGCUGGCGGCGUGCCUAAUACAUGCAAGUCGAGCGAACAGACGCGGAGCUUGCUCCUCUGACGUUAGCGGCGGACGUGUGAGUAACACGUGGAUAACCUACCUCUAAUACUGGGAUAACUUCGGGAAACCGGAGCUAAUACCGGAUAAUAUAUUGAACCGCAUGGUUCAAUAGUGAAUGACGGUUUUGCUGUCACUUAUAGAUGGAUCCGCGCCGCAUUAGCUAGUUGGUAAGGUAACGGCUUACCAAGGCAACGAUGCGUAGCCGACCUGAGAGGGUGAUCGGCAACGCUGGAACUGAGACACGGUCCAGACUCCUACGGGAGGCAGCAGUAGGGAAUCUUCCGCAAUGGGCGAAGGCCUGACGGAGCAACGGCGCGUGAGUGAUGAGGGUCUUCGGAUCGUAAAACUAUGUUAUCAGGGAAGAACAAAUGUGUAAGGAAAGAUGGUGGUCGUGACGGUACCUAAGCAGAAAGCCCCGGCUAACUACGUG
This 497-nucleotide ribosomal RNA is filed under the name uncultured bacterium. RNAcentral's name for it is "partial 16S ribosomal RNA". It matches the Rfam family "Bacterial small subunit ribosomal RNA", at positions 28 to 507 of the family's 1533-position model. The record is from RNAcentral.